This 123-nucleotide non-coding RNA is filed under the name Heterosigma akashiwo. Lineage: Eukaryota; Raphidophyceae; Chattonellales; Chattonellaceae. The record is from RNAcentral.
CUAAACACCUCUCUUGGAGAAGAGGUGACUUCGGUCCUCCGCCGAAAUGGGACUGAGAAUCCCAAAUUCAGAUGACGUGUCUUGUUUGUUCUGCAACAAGCUGAUGGUGGAUUAUCCAGUAAC